CCUAGUAAGGAGUCUUUGUCAAAAACAUUUUGUGAAUCUUUUGUUGCUUGUAUUGUUACAGAUAGGGCCAUCCCUAAGGUGGUGCAGGGCCCGGGGCGGAAGUUAUGGAUUAAUCUCUUCCACGACUGACCGCACUGGCCAAUCGUACCGGCCCAUGGGGCCCCCCAAAGUGCAGGGCCUGGAGCAGUCACCCCGAUUCACCCUAGGGAUGGAUGGUUCUGGUUACAGACAUAGUUGCUGACAGAUGUUAGAAUGGACAACUUGACAAAUCAGUACUCUUAAGAACUGACGAAUACUGAUUGAAUUUAUGGAAGAUAUAUAUUUACCUUUAUAUCUUUGGUUAUUCUGUACUCUAAGAUCUGCAACUGGAAUUUUGAAGACAAGAAAACUCUGAUUGCAGAAAACAUGAACAGCAAGGUGCCAAGGCGAAGGGUAGCUCAGGUCAGAAUUUAUGGGAAGAUAUAAUGGAUCUCUUAAAACCUACAAUAUCUAAUUUCUGAUUAAUCAUUCUAUAUUUCACCAAGGGGAGCAGAAUAUAGCUCUGUGUUCUUAGCUUUGUAAUGCAUUGACUACAUCCUUUUUUCUCUUGUUUUCUUCUCCCAAUACUGUAUGUUAACUGUUCUUAAAUCUGCCUCCAUGCUAACACUGAAAUCUAACAAACUUACUAGUUGUGCUGUUAUUUAAAGUCUCCACUUAUAUUGCCAUUUGAACUCCUACUUUUUCAGUAUAGAAAGGUCAGCCCCACAAACUCACUAGUUCAGAGUUAGCAGUAAUUGGUAGUCUCUACUAAAACUACUCAAUAACCUAAAUGUAUUAAGUUAGACCUAUGGUAUGUGGACUUAAUGGCAGUAUUUAGAUUCAAACCUACCUUAUGAGAUACAAGAAACAAUGGCAUGUUAGUGCUGUAUUUCAAACUUGCACCAUUAUAACCACAGAUACAGUCAUGCGAUCUACCUGAGACACUUGCUGUAAAAGUUAACUGCUAUUUUAAAAGUCAUGUACAAAUAAGAAAUAACUCACUUGGAUAAGCAGCUAGUAAUUAAUGAAUUUGGAGCAAUAGGACUUGAAUGAAUGAUGUGGGUGACGUGAUCAAGUGCAUUCCUCUUACAUUACAUCAGAGCUAGAGCUAAAUCAGAGCAGAUCUAGAUCAAAGCUAGCUAAGGUAUGUCUAUGGGAGUCACACCUUCUGAUUGCAUAGUAGACAUACCGUAGAACCACAUACUCAAGCAGAUGGAUCCUUACCUAAAACCCAUAGAAGUCAGUGGGCUUUAGAUCAGGCCCAAGAUGUACAUCCAUUUUGAUAUUAGUUCUAUUAGCAACUGUAUAUCACUGUGGUAACCUAAUAAUACCACACUAUAAUAAUAUGCAAGGGCCCCCUGAUUUACUGCCAAAAUGUUUCUCUGGUGGUGAUUCUCUAAAAAGUGACAAAUACUAAUUUUGUGUCUGAAAUACCUGGAUACUGUAGGCUGUUUUAAACCAAAUAUUUUGCUCUGGGACUUGGAUUCCAUAUUUUGAUUUGUAUAACAUGCUGCUUUAUUUGAAGAUAGUAGGUCUGGUUGGCACCAGAAUUUGGCUGGGAAUGUGGGUAGGUUUUGUAACAAAUAGCCUUCUUAAUCUGUUCUUAAAAUUUUUAUCUUCUCA
Dermochelys coriacea (leatherback sea turtle) is the source of this 1641-nucleotide long non-coding RNA. RefSeq lists it as uncharacterized. Lineage: Eukaryota; Metazoa; Chordata; Testudines; Dermochelyidae. The record is from RefSeq and is a predicted model, not a curated record. The transcript is spliced from 2 exons.